GAUGAACGCUGGCGGCGUGCUUAACACAUGCAAGUCGAACGGAAAGGCCCUGCUUUUGUGGGGUGCUCGAGUGGCGAACGGGUGAGUAACACGUGAGUAACCUGCCCUUGACUUUGGGAUAACUUCAGGAAACUGGGGCUAAUACCGGAUAGGAGCUCCUGCUGCAUGGUGGGGGUUGGAAAGUUUCGGCGGUUGGGGAUGUACUCGCGGCUUAUCAGCUUGUUGGUGGGGUAGUGGCUUACCAAGGCUUUGACGGGUAGCCGGCCUGAGAGGGUGACCGGCCACAUUGGGACUGAGAUACGGCCCAGACUCCUACGGGAGGCAGCAGUGGGGAAUAUUGCACAAUGGGCGGAAGCCUGAUGCAGCAACGCCGCGUGCGGGAUGACGGCCUUCGGGUUGUAAACCGCUUUCGCCUGUGACGAAGCGUGAGUGACGGUAAUGGGUAAAGAAGCACCGGCUAACUACGUG
Molecule: ribosomal RNA, 468 nt
Filed under: uncultured bacterium
Lineage: Bacteria
Description: partial 16S ribosomal RNA
Rfam family: Bacterial small subunit ribosomal RNA
Source: RNAcentral